This 2342-nucleotide long non-coding RNA is filed under the name Bemisia tabaci. Its description in RNAcentral is "lncRNA ENSSSA1NGG011827". The record is from RNAcentral. Lineage: Eukaryota; Metazoa; Arthropoda; Insecta; Hemiptera; Aleyrodidae.
AUGGGCGUAUCCCUGGGGAUCUUCAUCGCCAUGGACAAUCUACGGAAACAGGAAUCUCAUCCAAAGCCAAUCUCAAGGCUCCUUAGUUCCAUAACUGAUUUUAGGCUUGGACAAAACUUCUUAAGACCUUCCCCUUAUUCAACAUUAUUGAAUCCUGACGAUAGGAGUAAGUUUGGAGGCAUUAAAACGCCCAGUGGUAGUGCAACAGGAAUGCCAUCGAUGAUCUCAAACGAAAACCUGAUCGGGAAGAAAGGAAAGCCACAACCUUAUCCACUUUCCGCUGACCAAACUUUCCUAAAACCGAGCUCCAAUGAAUGGCGUUCCCUGGCUACGUUAUUUCAUAAAAUCUCUCUCAUUGCGCACAUUCUCAUGUACCUCAUCAUUUUGAUAAAGUGUUUUUACUAAAAAGAAGAAAAAACAAACAAUUCAUGUCUUUUAUUUUCUGUUCUUUUACCUUGAUCUAACUACUCUUCAAAGGGAUCAGGGCAUAGACUUAUAAAGGUAAUAUAAGUAAUACACGUUUAUGGGUUGGGGGGAAUCGGAUUUGUUUAGUCACGCGUCACGGAGCUCAACAAAUAUCUCUGCGGCCUCCAUCGAUGACAAUAAAAGUAACAUAAAAAUGGACUUGGAUUCCCUCCGACAGUUAUCCAUCUCAUUUGCUCUCUUUUAAUCCCUGUGUGAUUUUCACAGCCGAAGAUACGAAAGACGAAAUCCGGUCGGAAAAAUUUCAUUUCAAUAUCGCGAAAAAUACGCGGUUUGUAUAUCGACGCGAGCAUUAUUCAUAAACGUCGGUAACUUCAAUAGUUGAAAAGCAAUGAUUUUCCCUCUUUGCGAGAUACCACAAUCCUACUCCGGAGUUCGAAUAGUUGCUUGCGUAGAUGUGAGCACUACAUUCAUAAAUGUCAGUAACUUGGAAUAGUUAAAGAGCUAUGAUUUUCCUUCAAUUUGGCGUGAUACCACUCACCUACUCCGGAGUUUGAAUAGUUGCUUGCGUAAAUGUGAGCAUUACAUUCAUAAACGUCAGUAAUUUGGAAUAGUUAAAAAGCUAUGAUUUUCCUUCGAUUUGGCGUGAUACCACUCACCUACUCCGGAGUGUGAUUAGUUGCUUGCAUCGAUGUGAGCAUUACAUUCAUAAACGUUAGUAACUUGAAUAGUUAAAAAGGUAUGAUUCUCCUUCAAUUUUGCGUGAUACCACAUACCUACUCCGGAGUUCGAAUAGUUGCUCGCAUCAUUUCCACGUGUGAAGAAGAGAGAAAUUACGCGAGUUCAUCUUAAAAUCCGAGAAACACGCGAUACUUUCGACGGCUUCAUUAAAUCAUGAGAAAUUAAAUUAUACGCGCGUUUCAUCUCCGUUUCUCGUCAAAUGCGCGAUUACUAGAGAAAUCUUGUUUAAGAUAUGAGAAAUUACGCGAGAAUCAGUGUAAUAUCGCAGCUAGUAUGCAAUUUUGUAAAAUUAUUUAGAAAUACGCGUUAUUCGCAUUUAAAGCGGCACAUGCACAAGUUUACUUUCGGUUGAUUGGGAAAACUCACAAAUCGCGGAAAAUACAGCAUUAUCAUAUCAAUGAGAGCAUAAAAUUCAGCAAAGUUAGUAACCUGAGAUUUCGCAAGAUACCACAAACCUACUCUGACGUUCAAAUAGUUGCUCGCUCGGUUUCUGCGGGUGCAAAGCGCGAGAUGACGCAAGUUUUAUCUCGAUAUCGCGAGAAAUGCGCGAUAUUUCCAGCGGAUUCCACCAAUGGAAGGAAAUUACGUGCUUUUCAUCUCGGUAUAUAGCGGAAAUUCGUGAUUUUUCUAUCAAUUUUUAAAAGACAAUGAAAAAGUGCGCGAUAAUCACCGCAAUAUCGAGGCAAGUACGCAUUGACUAAGCCUGUCAAAUCAUCAAAAAUUAUGCGUUGUUUAUGUCAGUAUCACCUAAUCAUCUCAAAUUUUCCAGCAAUUGAUUUACAACGAAAAAAAACGCACAUUUUUCACAUCAAUAUUGUUUGAGAUACGCGAUUUUUACAUCGAUGCGAGCUAAUUCAUAAACAUCACUAACUUAAGAUAGGCGAAAAGCUAUAAAUUUCCUUCAAUUUUGCGUGAUACCACACGCCAACUCCGGAGUUCGAAUAGUUGCUAGCUCAGUUUUCGCGUGUGAGAAAUUACGCGAGAUUCGUCUCAAUAUCGCAAAAAAUGCGCUAUAUUUCCAGUGGAUUCCACUAAUGGAUAGAAAUUAUGUGCUUUUCAUCUCGGUAUAGCGGAAAAUGCGUGAUUUUUCCGGCAAUUUUUUCAAGACAAUGAGAAUAUACGCGAUUAUCACGGCAAUAUCCAGACAAGUGCCUACAUAAUUUUCCCCGAAAUUGAGG